Molecule: ribosomal RNA, 253 nt
Filed under: uncultured bacterium
Lineage: Bacteria
Description: partial 16S ribosomal RNA
Rfam family: Bacterial small subunit ribosomal RNA
Source: RNAcentral
UACGAAGGGUGCUAGCGUUGUUCGGAAUUACUGGGCGUAAAGCGCGCGUAGGCGGCUUAGCAAGUCAGGGGUGAAAUCCCACAGCUCAACUGUGGAAUUGCCUCUGAAACUGCUAAGCUUGAGUGUCGGAGGGGAUAGCGGAAUUGCUAAUGUAGAGGUGAAAUUCGUAGAUAUUAGCAGGAACACCGGUGGCGAAGGCGGCUAUCUGGACGACAACUGACGCUGAGGCGCGAAAGCGUGGGGAUCAAACAGG